Molecule: ribosomal RNA, 120 nt
Filed under: uncultured Streptococcus sp.
Lineage: Bacteria; Bacillati; Bacillota; Bacilli; Lactobacillales; Streptococcaceae
Description: partial 16S ribosomal RNA
Rfam family: Bacterial small subunit ribosomal RNA
Source: RNAcentral
CCUACGGGAGGCAGCAGUAGGAAAUACUUCGGCAAUGGACGGAAGUCUGACCGAGCAACGCCGCGUGAGUGAAGAAGGUUUUCGGAUCGUAAAGCUCUGUUAUUAGGGAAGAACAAACGU